RNAcentral lists this long non-coding RNA (628 nucleotides) under Ficedula albicollis (Collared flycatcher). Its description in RNAcentral is "lncRNA (ENSFALG00000028304.1)". The record is from RNAcentral. Lineage: Eukaryota; Metazoa; Chordata; Aves; Passeriformes; Muscicapidae.
UUCAACCCCUCACUACUUAAUCCACCCCCAGGUGCCAGCAAACAUCCCGAGCAGAGUUAGGCAAGGACUAUCCAUCACCAUGCUGGAAGUCUCAGAGUGGGCUUGGCAAUACCUGGGCCCUACAAAAAGAGCUAUGAAGGCAUUAGGACCAAAAAAAUCAUCUUAUUUGCUUAUUGAUUUCCAAUAAAAUCUAAUAAUUAGAAAAACAGUCCUGCUGACUUGUGUGUGCCGUGCGUACAAAGGAAGGAGGCAAAAUCCCUCAGGGGGUGACAGUGCUUCCACAGCAGCCCUGCAGUCCCUCAGGGCUGGCAGACAAGUGUCCCUGCAGUGGCAUUAGCCUGUGUCCCCCGGGAGAGAGCAGAGAGCAUCAGUGCCAGGAGCCUGGGGCAUCCCUGGGGCUGGGGAAGGGAUCCUGUGGGGUGGGGACUGGCACAGACGGACUGGCACAGACAGGAGUGUCACAGGAUUGUCACAGACAGGAGUGUCACAGCCAGGAUUGUCACAGACAGGACUGGCACAGACAGGGCUGGCACAGACAGGAGUGUCACAGACAGGAUGUCACAGACAGGGCUGGCACAGACAGGGCUGGCACAGGAUUGUCACAGACAGGAGUGUCACAGACAGGAUG